UGUUUGAUGUUCUAACGUUGGCCCCUGAUCGGGGUUGCGGACAGUGUCUGGUGGGUAGUUUGACUGGGGCGGUCUCCUCCUAAAGAGUAACGGAGGAGCACGAAGGUUGGCUAAUCCUGGUCGGACAUCAGGAGGUUAGUGCAAUGGCAUAAGCCAGCUUGACUGCGAGCGUGACGGCGCGAGCAGGUGCGAAAGCAGGUCAUAGUGAUCCGGUGGUUCUGAAUGGAAGGGCCAUCGCUCAACGGAUAAAAGGUACUCCGGGGAUAACAGGCUGAUACCGCCCAAGAGUUCAUAUCGACGGCGGUGUUUGGCACCUCGAUGUCGGCUCAUCACAUCCUGGGGCUGAAGUAGGUCCCAAGGGUAUGGCUGUUCGCCAUUUAAAGUGGUACGCGAGCUGGGUUUAGAACGUCGUGAGACAGUUCGGUCCCUAUCUGCCGUGGGCGCUGGAGAACUGAGGGGGGCUGCUCCUAGUACGAGAGGACCGGAGUGGACGCAUCACUGGUGUUCGGGUUGUCAUGCCAAUGGCACUGCCCGGUAGCUAAAUGCGGAAGAGAUAAGUGCUGAAAGCAUCUAAGCACGAAACUUGCCCCGAGAUGAGUUCUCCCUGACUCCUUGAGAGUCCUGAAGGAACGUUGAAGACGACGACGUUGAUAGGCCGGGUGUGUAAGCGCAGCGAUGCGUUGAGCUAACCGGUACUAAUGAACCGUGAGGCUUAACCUUACAA
Molecule: ribosomal RNA, 724 nt
Filed under: Escherichia coli
Lineage: Bacteria; Pseudomonadati; Pseudomonadota; Gammaproteobacteria; Enterobacterales; Enterobacteriaceae
Description: partial 23S ribosomal RNA
Rfam family: Bacterial large subunit ribosomal RNA
Source: RNAcentral